GACGGGGGCCCGCACAAGCGGUGGAGCAUGUGGUUUAAUUCGAUGAUACGCGAGGAACCUUACCUGGGCUCAAAUGUAUGUUGACGUAUUCUGAAAGGGAUACUUCUUCGGACAAUAUACAAGGUGCUGCAUGGUUGUCGUCAGCUCGUGCCGUGAGGUGUCGGGUUAAGUCCCAUAACGAGCGCAACCCCUAUCAUUAGUUGCCAUCAGGUCAAGCUGGGGACUCUAAUGAAACUGCCUACGCAAGUAGUGAGGAAGGUGGGGAUGACGUCAAAUCAGCACGGCCCUUACGUCCAGGGCUACACACGUGCUACAAUGGCCGGUACAAAGGGCAGCUACCUGGUGACAGGAUGCUAAUCUCAAAAGCCGGUCUCAGUUCGGAUCGGAGUCUGCAACCCGACUCCGUGAAGUCGGAAUCGCUAGUAAUCGUGAAUCAGAAUGUCACGGUGAAUACGUUCCCGGGCCUU
This 467-nucleotide ribosomal RNA is filed under the name uncultured Sphingobacteriales bacterium. RNAcentral describes it as "bacterial SSU rRNA". It matches the Rfam family "Bacterial small subunit ribosomal RNA", at positions 912 to 1382 of the family's 1533-position model. The record is from RNAcentral. Lineage: Bacteria; Pseudomonadati; Bacteroidota; Sphingobacteriia; Sphingobacteriales.